This 100-nucleotide microRNA precursor is filed under the name Marmota monax (woodchuck). The record is from RNAcentral. Lineage: Eukaryota; Metazoa; Chordata; Mammalia; Rodentia; Sciuridae.
AGUGGAGUAGCUGGGUCAAAUGGUGGUUCCAUUCUCAAUUUUCUGAAUCUCCAUACUGCUUUCCAAAGUGGUUGCACCAACUUGCAGUCCCACCAGCAAU